This 268-nucleotide ribosomal RNA is filed under the name Escherichia coli. RNAcentral describes it as "partial 16S ribosomal RNA". It matches the Rfam family "Bacterial small subunit ribosomal RNA", at positions 1 to 265 of the family's 1533-position model. Lineage: Bacteria; Pseudomonadati; Pseudomonadota; Gammaproteobacteria; Enterobacterales; Enterobacteriaceae. The record is from RNAcentral. RNAcentral also lists the same sequence under 2 other names.
AAAUUGAAGAGUUUGAUCAUGGCUCAGAUUGAACGCUGGCGGCAGGCCUAACACAUGCAAGUCGAACGGUAACAGGAAGCAGCUUGCUGCUUCGCUGACGAGUGGCGGACGGGUGAGUAAUGUCUGGGAAACUGCCUGAUGGAGGGGGAUAACUACUGGAAACGGUAGCUAAUACCGCAUAAUGUCGCAAGACCAAAGAGGGGGACCUUCGGGCCUCUUGCCAUCGGAUGUGCCCAGAUGGGAUUAGCUUGUUGGUGGGGUAACGGCU